Long non-coding RNA from Pan troglodytes (chimpanzee), 2958 nucleotides. RefSeq lists it as uncharacterized. The transcript is spliced from 7 exons. NCBI's taxonomy places the organism in Eukaryota, Metazoa, Chordata, Mammalia, Primates, Hominidae. The record is from RefSeq and is a predicted model, not a curated record.
ACCUCUAUGGCGUCGCCGAGGAACGUCUCUCACGCGGAGCCAAUCGGAACUCGCGGAGGGGCUGCUGGGGCUUCCAGGAGGGCGCAUGUGCGGAUGACUGGCCGCAGGCGGCCGGGCGGGCUGUAACCCGCCGCUGAACUGGCGCUUCUGUGUCCAGAGGCUUCGGCCUGGCCGCCGUCGCCUGUAAGCUACGAGGAGGAGAUUUACGACUUGGCCGGGCGCAGCAAAGGCCAGACUCUGCGCGAACAGGCGCUGGGCACCAACCGGCAGGCACCUGGCGGGCACCAUCGCACGGUGGCGCAGAAGCCCCUCAAUGGCCAGCGCCAGCUGCAGCCGUGGCCGCGCAGUCGUCUCACCUGAGCUUGGGCGAAUGUGGAUUGGGAAAGUCGACAUUAAUCAACUCAUUAUUCCUCAUAGAUUUGUAUUCUCCAGAGUAUCCAGGUCCUUCUCACAGAAUUAAAAAGACUGUACAGCUGGCAGCCUGUUAUCGAUUACAUUGAUAGUAAAUUUGAGGACUACCUAAAUGCAGAAUCAUGCAUGAACAGACGUCAGAUGCCUGAUAACAGGGUGCAGUGUUGUUCAUACUUCAUUGCUCCUUCAGGACAUGGACCAUUACAUAACUGAAGACUCCCACCUUCAGGCAGGAUUGUGUAGUACAUGUUUGUAACUACUUCACAUUGCCUUUUGUUGAGAUAUUUGGGCACCUUCACGAGUGUUAGAUACCAUGCUAGGUCCUGAGGAUACAGAUGAAUGAGACAAGGCCCUCACUGCGAAGAGUAUUUCAGUGAGAAGAUGGGAGAAACAAAUACAGAUGCUCUUCGACUUGGGACAGGGUUACAUUAACCCAUCACUUAAACCAUUGGAGAUUGAGUUUAUGAAGUGUUUGCAUGAAAAAGUGAGUAUCACCCCACUUAUUGCCAAAGCAGACACACUCACACCAGAGGAAUGCCAACAGUUUAAAAAACAGAUGGAGUCUCGCUCUGUUGCCCAGGUUGGAGUGCAGUGGUGUGAUCUCGGCUCACCGCAAGCUCUGCCUCCCAGGUUCACGCCAUUCUCCUGCCUCAGCCUCCCCAGCAGCUGGGACUACAGGCGCAUGCCGCACGCUUGGCUAAUUUUUUGUAUUUUUAGUAGAGACGGGGUUUCGCCGUGUUAGCCAUGAUGGUCUCGAUCUCCUGACCUCGUGAUCUGCCCGCCUUGGCCUCCCAGAGUGCUGGGAUUACAGGCGUGAGCCACCGCGCCCUGCCAAAUUUCCUCUUUAAAGUUAAGAAUAUUCAAGAAUAUACUGGGCAAAUUAUUUACUAAAAAUCACUACAGAAAGUUGUCCCAUACUUGGGAGGAAAAAGGUAAAAAAAUAUAUUAGCAUUGGCUGGGCGUGGUGGCUCAUGCCUGUAUCCUACUAAGUCAGGUAAGUAUGUGUUAAGUCCUAAAGUUGUAGUAUAGGUUGAACAUUCUUUUUUUUUUGAGAUGGAGUCUCCCUCUGUCACCCAGGCUGGAGUGCAGUGGCAUGAUCUCGGCUCACUGCAACCUCUGCCUCCCGAGUUCAAAUGAUACUUCUGCCUCAGCCUCCUGAGUAGCUGGGACUAUAGGCGUGCACCACCACACCUGGCUAAUUUUGGUAUUUUUAGUAGAGACAGGGUUUCACCAUAUUGGCCAGGCUGGUCUCAAACUCCUGACCUUACCAUCCUCCCGCCUCAGCCUCCCAAAGUGCUGGGAUUACAGGCAUGAGCCACCGCACCCCGCCUAGGUUGAACAUUCUUAAAGAGAAAAUUCAAAAUGUGAAUUGCUCCAAAAUCUAAAACGUUUUGAGCACUGACAUGCCGCUCAAAGGAAACGCUCACUGGAGCAUUUUGAAUUUUGGAUUUUUGGAUUAAGGAUGCUCAACCAGUAAGUAUAACACAGAUAUUCCAGAAUUCCAAAAAAAUUCAAAACACUUCUGGUCCCAAGCAUUUCAAAUAAGAGAUACUCAACUUGCCCCACCCAGGCUGGCAUCUCUGCCUCAUCAUUAAGUCUAUUUCUGUUUUCUUAUUUGAAAACAUACCUAAAAUUCAGGGGUUCUUUACCUGGGGCCCACAGUUUGCUCCCAGGGAAUCUAAUGAACCUCCUGGAAUCAAACAUUUUGGAGAGAAGGCCAGUCACUUUUAUCAGAAUGUCAGAUGGGUCAUGGACCCUCAAGAAUUAUUUUAAAAAUGUAUAAGCCCAGUUAAAACAUUCACAGUCUCCUUUCCUCAGUGCAAAAGUUGCCCUUUUUGACAUUGCAUAUUUAGAGUAAAAAAAUUUCAUUAGUAAGAGAUCCUCUUUACUAGUUUUGUAAGGAGUUUUUUGUUUCUUAACUUGCUAUCUUAAAUUAUUAAGGGUUAAGUAAGGAGUUUUAAAUACCAAUAAAAUCUUAGUUAUAACACCAAACCUCAGAAGUCCUUCCUCUUGGCAAUAGGUUUAUUGUAUUUGUUUAAUCUGAUAUUUAAUCUUCUGUAUUACAGUAAGCUGAAACCAAAAUUGAGACGUGAUUGUUUUAUGUUUGUUGCUAUUAUUUUUGAACUUUUUUUUUUUUUUUUUUUUUUUUAAGAGACAAGGUCUUGCUGUGUUGCCCAACUGGCCUCAAACUCCUGAGCUCAAAGUGAUCUUCCUACGUCAUGCUCCUCCCAUAUCACGUCACUAUAGGCACACACCACUGCCCCUGUCUUAUUUUGAACAGUUCUUUAAUUUUUAGGAUAUUGUUUCAAGUUACUGUCCUUAUUGGCAAUUUUCCCACCAGUGACCCCCGUACCUUGUUCCCAGUUCCCUCUGCCAUGCCCAGGCAACUUUCAGUUGCUGAGCUGAGGCUUUAAAACUUACAUACUGCUUGAAAAUAGGCAACGGAGAAAUUGAUUUUCAUCUCUCUUUUGUAGUUUACCCUUCUACUCUCAAGUAAUAUUCGUAUUUGUGAUACAUUAUUUAAAAAUAAAAGUAAAGAACCUUAAA